Molecule: long non-coding RNA, 2751 nt
Organism: Ictalurus punctatus (channel catfish)
Lineage: Eukaryota; Metazoa; Chordata; Actinopteri; Siluriformes; Ictaluridae
Source: Ensembl
CAGGUUUGUAAAGUAGAAUAAAAUUAAUUACAGAAAUAUUUAAAAUAAUAUAGAUGUAAUAUAAAAGUAACCUCUGAAAUGCUCUUGUGCCACUUGUUUAUUUCUGUAAUUCUUUUGUGUGUGUGUACAAUAGAUAAAAUCGAGGUCUUUCAUCCUUUACAUAGAAUUCGCAUCAUUAGUUUCGUCAGUCCGAGCACAGCUGAUUGUCCCGAUUCGUAUCCGGUGUGAUAUAUUCUUGCCGUAUCGCCCAGCACCCCAGCAUCUCAGCCUCGGGUCAGAACCGUGUCAUCUCUCUUCUCCGGUCAUUGUGGUGUUGUUCUGAGUGUAAGGUCUCGUUUGCAUAAAGUCUCUCUCUUUCUCUUUCUUUUCUCCACCGGCAUUUGCGUCUGUUUUCUAUUCUCUGCGGUGUCUCUGUUGCGCUCCUUGGGGGGAGCCGGCGAGGACUAGAGGAAGUGGAGCAGGAUGACAUUUGCUCUGGAAAGGCUAAUGCGAUGCUGAUGUGGACUUACCAUGUCCAGUGCAGCGGGAGACAGAGCUCGGUGGAGGUAAAGCACACUGACAGAAAAACAAGAGACUCCGUCAUGAGGGUGUAAUAAAGAUCAAAAGAAUACCGCAUCAUCACAAAUAUCAAACUUGCAAAUCAUGUCUAAAUAUUUAUUUAAACCAAGCAUGACUUUAUGUGUUAAAAAUUACGGGUGUAUAUCAGGACUACGUUACCCAACACCCCUUGAAUCUCACUUGAGUCUAGUGGUUAGCACAUUCGCCUCACACCUCCAGGGUCGGGGGUUCGAUUCCCACCGUGGCCCUGUGUGUGUGGAGUUUGCGUGUUCUCCCCGUGCUGCGGGGGUUUCCUCCGGGUACUCCGGUUUCCUCCCCCAGUCCAAAGACAUGCAUGGUAGGCUGACUGGCACGUCCAAAGUAUCUGUAAUGUAUGAAUGGGUGUGUGAGUGUGUAUGUGAUUGUGCCCUCUGAUAGAUUGGCACCCUGUCCAGGGUGUACCCCGCCUUGUGCCCCAUGCUCCCUGGGAUAGGCUCCAGGUUCCCCGUGACCCUGAAAAAGGAUAAGCGGUAAUGGAAGAUACAAUAUGAUGUGAUACGGUAUGAUGCGGUGCGACAAGAUACAAUACAUUUAAUAUUUUCAAUAAUAAUUGAUUUGCGAUUGUUACACAAAUCCUUUCAUUCAUUUCAGUUAUCGGCUUUUUAAAUUGGUUUAUUAAUCCAAAUCAAAACCAGCCAUUUGGUAUUUCCCUCUCAAAAUGUGAAAUGAAAUGGGCGAAUAAAGAAUGAAAUGUCCUGAUUGGCACAAUAUUAAUGGAAAAUAUUCUGCACUUAUAUAGUGCUUUUUUAACCUUAGCAGUUCCAAAGCGCUUUACACUGUGUCUCAUUCACCCAGUCACACACACCAGUGGUAGCAGAGCUGCCAUGCAAGGCGCUAACUUGCCAUCCGGAGCAACUUGGGAUUCAGUGUCUUGUCCAAGGACAAUUCGGCUUGUGGAGUCAUGUGGGGUCACGUGGGCCGGGAAUCGAACCGCCAACCCUACGAUUAGUGGACAACCCGCUCUACCACCUGAUCCACAGCCGCCCAAAACUUGUCACAAUAUUAAGAAGAGUUUGCAAAAAAAAACACACACACACAAAACAGCUUAAGCAUGGAUUUCUCUCAUUCAGGGUUUGAAGUUUUUUUAACCUGCCACUCUGUCAGUUAAAUGAAAACUUUCUGAAAUCCACAGUGAAAAUGUCAGCACUAAAUACAGCUAUUUAUAUAACCGGUGGUACGUGCGGUCUUUUAUGACUCGUGAUAAUUGGCCAAAAUUAAAGUUCCUGCAAGAGUGAAACAUUGGCUGUCCAUCAAACUGCUCCAAGAAAUUUUCACCAUUUAGCUAGAAGACUAUGACAGAUUUUCUCGAUUGCUUGAACACUACGAGCAGGGUUUUGAGUGAAAAUUUCAAAACCAUAACGCCAUUUAUCAAAAAAACACACCCACUUCCCUAAACUAUAAACACUCUUCCCCUGUUUUGACACACGGGUCUGAUUUGUUGAACUGUCACUGCAAAUCCCUUCACACAAAUCCCUUCAUUUCUCAUUGCCUACACCGUGUGGUCAUUUAGAAAGCACUAGCAUUCAGUAUUGUUCACUCAAGUCAGCUCAAUUAGCACACAGUUACCCGAGCGGAAACAUUAAGAGUCAGAAUUCAUCACACACCAAUCAGAACCGUCAAUACAUAGAUAAAAGGGCCCAAGUCAGUUCAUUCACUUUUGGAACAAUGGAUCCAGAGAGACGUGAAGGAAGAGGUCGAGGACACCGGAGAGGAGGAGGGAGAUCAGUAGGGAGUGGAGGAAGAGUAGGAGGUGGAGGAGGAGUAGAGAGAGGAGGAGGAGGUGAAGGAAGAGGAAGAGUAGGAGGUGGAGGAGGAGUAGGGAGUAGAGGAAGAGGUGGUGGAAGUUUAGGAGGUGGAGGAGGAGUAGAGAGAGGAAGAGGAGGUGAAGGAAGAGGAAGAGUAGGAGGUGGAGGAGGAGUAGAGAGGAGGAGGAGGUGAAGGAAGAGGAAAAGUAGGAGGUGGAGGAGGAGUAGGGACUAGAGGAAGAGGAGGUGGUGGAGGAGGAGUAGAAAGAGGAGGAAAGGGGGGAGUGGAGGAGUAGGGAGAGGAGGAGGAGGAGGAGGAUAACAACAAGGAAGGGCAAGGAGACAAGCAGACUCGGAUAAGGGAUCUCGGAUCUCCAGUGUCAGAUCUCGGACCAUGACGGAGGCAGGG